CCUACGGGAGGCAGCAGUGGGGAAUAUUGGACAAUGGGGGGAACCCUGAUCCAGCGACGCCGCGUGAGUGAAGAAGUAUUUCGGUAUGUAAAGCUCUAUCAGCAGGGAAGAAAAUGACGGUACCUGACUAAUAAGACCCGGCGAAAUACGGGUCAGCAGCCGCGGGAAUACGUAGGGGGCAAGCGUUAUCCGGAUUUACUGGGGGGAAAGGGAGCGGAGACGGUGCAGCAAGUCUGAUGUGAAGGGUCGGGGCCCAACCCCCGGACUGCAUUGGAAACUGUUGAACUGGAGUACAGGAGAGGUAAGCGGAAUUCCUAGUGUAGCGGUGAAAUGCGUAGAUAUUAGGAAGAACACCAGUGGCGAAGGCAGCUUACUGGACUGUAACUGACGUUGAGGCUCGAAAGCGUGGGGAGCAAACAGGAUUAGAUACCCGGGUAGUC
RNAcentral lists this ribosomal RNA (440 nucleotides) under uncultured bacterium. Its description in RNAcentral is "partial 16S ribosomal RNA". It matches the Rfam family "Bacterial small subunit ribosomal RNA", at positions 338 to 795 of the family's 1533-position model. The record is from RNAcentral.